RNAcentral lists this small nuclear RNA (23 nucleotides) under Arabidopsis thaliana (thale cress). Its description in RNAcentral is "snRNA_03988". The record is from RNAcentral. Lineage: Eukaryota; Viridiplantae; Streptophyta; Magnoliopsida; Brassicales; Brassicaceae.
AAGAAUUUAUAAGAAAACCCUUU